This 345-nucleotide ribosomal RNA is filed under the name uncultured bacterium. RNAcentral describes it as "bacterial SSU rRNA". It matches the Rfam family "Bacterial small subunit ribosomal RNA", at positions 461 to 793 of the family's 1533-position model. The record is from RNAcentral.
AUAUUCAUUUGACGUUAGCUGCAGAAGAAGCACCGGCUAACUCCGUGCCAGCAGCCGCGGUAAUACGGAGGGGUGCGAGCGUUAAUCGGAAUUACUGGGCGUAAAGCGCAUGCAGGUGGUUUGUUAAGUCAGAUGUGAAAGCCCCGGGGGCCUCAACCCGUACGGAAUUAGCAUUUUAGAAACUGGCAAACUAGAGUACUGUAGAGGGGGGUAGGAAUUUCAGGUGUAGCGGUGAAAUGCGUAGAGAUCUGAAGGAAUACCGGUGGCGAAGGCGGCCCCCUGGACAGAUACUGACACUCAGAUGCGAAAGCGUGGGGAGCAAACAGGAUUAGAUACCCCUGGUAG